UUCUUCCCCAUCUCAAACCCUCAGAGACCAGAACCCCAAAACCCUAACCGCCUCUAGGCAAUUUGCACUAGAAACCCGGCGGCAACGACGCUGCCGGUCACCCCGUUAACGCCACAGAACCCCCAUCACACCCUAAAGCCAAAUCAACUAACCCCUAACCUCGAAUCAAACAGAACCUUCUUGAAUUUUCAUUUGAAUAUUCGAGCCCAGAUUCAACUCACACCAAAUCACCCCAAAUCAAUACCAAGCACUCCCCUAACAUCUCUCGUACCUAAACCAACAAGGUUUUGGUUCGAAUCUGACCUGAAAAGGUCGAACCCUAAGAUUCAACUCACACCAAAUCACCCCAAAUCAAUACCAAGCACUCCCCUAACAUCUCUCGUACCUAAACCAACAAGGUUUUGGUUCGAAUCUGACCUGACAAGGUCGAACCUAAAAGUGACUGUAUGAACCCUAGAAAAUCCAAGGUUUGGAGUCAGGCCAAGUUAAGGAAAUUGGGGCCCAAAGGACUAUAUUCUAGGUUCUCAACUGAGAACACCCCGAGUUGCCUG
This 551-nucleotide long non-coding RNA is filed under the name Nicotiana benthamiana. RNAcentral describes it as "long non-coding RNA (NBEN_LNC004369)". Lineage: Eukaryota; Viridiplantae; Streptophyta; Magnoliopsida; Solanales; Solanaceae. The record is from RNAcentral.